This 193-nucleotide ribosomal RNA is filed under the name uncultured bacterium. Its description in RNAcentral is "partial 16S ribosomal RNA". It matches the Rfam family "Bacterial small subunit ribosomal RNA", at positions 1308 to 1500 of the family's 1533-position model. The record is from RNAcentral.
CAACUCGCCUACAUGAAGUCGGAAUUGCUAGUAAUCGCGGAUCAGCAUGCCGCGGUGAAUACGUUCCCGGGCCUUGUACACACCGCCCGUCACACCAUGGGAGUCGGUAACACCCGAAGCCUGUAGUCUAACCGCAAGGAGGACGCAGUCGAAGGUGGGAUUGAUGACUGGGGUNAAGUCGUAACAAGGUAAC